UGGGGAAUAUUGCACAAUGGGCGAAAGCCUGAUGCAGCGACGCCGCGUGCGGGAUGACGGCCUUCGGGUUGUAAACCGCUUUCGGCAGGGAAGAAGCCGCAAGGUGACGGUACCUGCAGAAGAAGCGCCGGCUAACUACGUGCCAGCAGCCGCGGUAAUACGUAGGGCGCAAGCGUUGUCCGGAAUUAUUGGGCGUAAAGAGCUCGUAGGCGGUUCGUCGCGUCUGCUGUGAAAUCCUCAGGCUCAACCUGGGGCGUGCAGUGGGUACGGGCGGACUAGAGUGCGGUAGGGGUGACUGGAAUUCCUGGUGUAGCGGUGGAAUGCGCAGAUAUCAGGAGGAACACCGAUGGCGAAGGCAGGUCACUGGGCCGCAACUGACGCUGAGGAGCGAAAGCAUGGGGAGCGAACAGGAUUAGAUAGCCCUGGUAGUCCAUGCCGUAAACGUUGGGCACUAGGUGUGGGGUCCAUUCCACGGAUUCCGUGCCGCAGCAAA
Molecule: ribosomal RNA, 493 nt
Filed under: uncultured bacterium
Lineage: Bacteria
Description: partial 16S ribosomal RNA
Rfam family: Bacterial small subunit ribosomal RNA
Source: RNAcentral